This 799-nucleotide ribosomal RNA is filed under the name Meloidogyne oleae. RNAcentral's name for it is "SSU rRNA". It matches the Rfam family "Eukaryotic small subunit ribosomal RNA", at positions 973 to 1793 of the family's 1831-position model. Lineage: Eukaryota; Metazoa; Nematoda; Chromadorea; Rhabditida; Meloidogynidae. The record is from RNAcentral.
UUAAUCAAGAACGAAAGUCAGAGGUUCGAAGGCGAUCAGAUACCGCCCUAGUUCUGACCGUAAACGAUGCCAAUUAGCGAUCCGCCGAAGGAGAUUCAUGUGCCUUGGUGGGGAGCUUCCCGGAAGCGAAAAUUUUUCGGCUCUGGGGGAAGUAUGGUUGCAAAGCUGAAACUUAAAGGAAUUGACGGAAGGGCACCACCAGGAGUGGAGCCUGCGGCUUAAUUUGACUCAACACGGGGAAACUCACCCGGCCCGGACACUGUGAGGAUUGACAGAUUGAUAGCUUUUUCAUGAUUCAGUGGAUGGUGGUGCAUGGCCGUUCUUAGUUCGUGGAGUGAUUUGUCUGGUUUAUUCCGAUAACGAGCGAGACUCUCGCCUACUAAAUAGCCGGCGUGUUCUCACGUGCGUGUACGGCUUCUUAGAGGGAUCUACGGUGUUCAGCCGCAAGAAAUUGAGCAAUAACAGGUCUGUGAUGCCCUUAGAUGUCCGGGGCUGCACGCGCGCUACACUGGCAAAAUCAGCGUGCCUGUCCUGCCCCGAAAGGGGGUGGUAAACCAUUGAAAAUUUGCCGUGAUUGGGAUCGGAAAUUGCAAUUAUUUUCCGUGAACGAGGAAUUCCAAGUAAGUGCGAGUCAUCAGCUCGCGUUGAUUACGUCCCUGCCCUUUGUACACACCGCCCGUCGCUGCCCGGGACUGAGCCAUUUCGAGAAACUUGGGGACUGUCGAUCUGCUGGUGCUUGCGCCAGCUCCUCGGUGGAAACCAAUUUAAUCGCAGUGGCUUGAACCGGGCAAAAGUCGUA